Molecule: long non-coding RNA, 1200 nt
Organism: Dreissena polymorpha
Lineage: Eukaryota; Metazoa; Mollusca; Bivalvia; Myida; Dreissenidae
Exons: 2
Source: RefSeq, a predicted model, not a curated record
UUUGCGUUUAGGUUUCGAAAAAUUCUAAUAACUUCUAUGUAGCUUCAGAUAGCAAUUUCAUAGUUGAAAUGCAUGUGUAUAUGAACACGGCCUUUCCAUAAGCACACACAUUUUGACCCCUGUGACAUUGACCUUGAAUUUAGGGUCCGCGUUUAGGUUUCGAAAUCUGCGUUUAGGAUUCGAAAAAAGCUCACAACUUCUAUCAAGCGUUUAUAGGGGGCGUAGGUCAUCCUAUGGUGACAGCUCUUGUUCAGGCUGGAAUAAAUGAAAUUAAAACAAGUUUCAACUUCACUUCGUAUAUAACUAAAAGUUUUCGAGACACUGCAUCAUAUAGAUAUAUAUUCAGAUCGUCGUGGUGCAGUUUUAGGAAGAAGUCGCAAAAGUAGUCGGAAAAGGCCAAAUAACAUGGCUUGGUUGUGUAUGUUAGAUUGGAAGUGAUAUAAAUAGCAUACCCUUAAUCAAUUUCUAUUAAUUCAAGUAAACUUAAAUUCGAUGAUAAUAAUUUCACAUAUAAAAUAUAUUACCUUCUCGAGAAGAAGUUAAAAACAAAACUAUGCCAACUGUAUAACCUUAUGUAUAAACAGUAUACUGUGAAAGGAUCGAUUUAUUCAUUGAAAAGGACACUGUAACAUAAAGUAAGCAUUUGUGUAUUGGCUAUACCGAAAUAAUGUCAUCGUUAUGCUGUAUAAACUGUAUUUAUUUUUCUUAAAACAACCAAAAUGAAUAACGAUUUUAUAAAGACAACGAGGAAUACAUGCUAAUAAAUUAAAAUAAUUGACAAUAUUAAAGGUGUUUUAACUAAUAUUUUAAAAGUGGAUGGAUAAUAUUUACCGGUACAUAGAAAAUAUGAACGCCCUCAUGAAUAUUCAGUUGAAAUCCGUCGGAAAUCUUAGCCGAUUAUCAGUUAAGACUAGAAUAUUGUGCAUUAUUGAUAUGGAUUAGUUAAGACACAUUUUUGAUAAAUCAUUACAUCGUUUGUUUAAUAUUUAACGUUCAUUGUCAAAAUUACAUGUAUAUUUUUUCAAAUGUCUCGUAGAUGAAUUUACUUAACACAUUUCAAAAAUAUUUAUGUACAAGAUUUGUUUCCUAGUUCAGAGUAAAUAACAAUAGUGCAUGUAAGCGCCUUAAAACCAGCGAUAUAAAUUUACCAUGGUAAUUCUUUAUAUGCUUAUAUUCUUAGAUUAAAAUAGAGCAUCAUGA